RNAcentral lists this ribosomal RNA (430 nucleotides) under uncultured bacterium. Its description in RNAcentral is "bacterial SSU rRNA". It matches the Rfam family "Bacterial small subunit ribosomal RNA", at positions 10 to 433 of the family's 1533-position model. The record is from RNAcentral.
GGUUUGAUCGUGGCUCAGGACGAACGCUGGCGGCGUGCCUAACACAUGCAAGUCGAACGAAGCUUUGAGGAGCUUGCUUUUUAAAGCUUAGUGGCGGACGGGUGAGUAACGCGUGAGCAACCUGCCUCUCAGAGGGGAAUAACGUUUUGAAAAGAACGCUAAUACCGCAUAACAUAUCGGAACCGCAUGAUUCUGAUAUCAAAGGAGCAAUCCGCUGAGAGAUGGGCUCGCGUCCGAUUAGUUAGUUGGUGAGGUAACGGCUCACCAAGACUACGAUCGGUAGCCGGACUGAGAGGUUGAUCGGCCACAUUGGGACUGAGACACGGCCCAGACUCCUACGGGAGGCAGCAGUGGGGGAUAUUGCGCAAUGGGGGAAACCCUGACGCAGCAACGCCGCGUGAAGGAAGAAGGUCUUCGGAUUGUAAACUUC